RNAcentral lists this long non-coding RNA (924 nucleotides) under Triticum aestivum (bread wheat). Its description in RNAcentral is "long non-coding RNA (TAES_LNC010107)". The record is from RNAcentral. Lineage: Eukaryota; Viridiplantae; Streptophyta; Magnoliopsida; Poales; Poaceae.
UCUCACAAAAUGGCAUAGCUACAUCAAAAACCCCCAAAAUUCUCAUAAUAGCAUACCACAAAAUCACAUAAUCACAAGUACAUAACUUUCAAUCCCAAUGACAAAACGGUAGCACAACAUCAUAUUUCGGUCUUACUUUCUUACAAAACGAGAUAGCACAACAUCAAAUAAGCCAAGUACAUCUGUGGGAGAUAAGUCCAUCACAUUCAAAUUUAUUUAAAUAUAAGGUAGACUUCUAGGCAUCAUCUUUCGUUCUUCAGCUCUUGGUAGACUAUGCUCCAGUCAUGAUAGAUUCAGACUCAUCCUUGAAGUGAACAGAUCAAAAGCACAAUAUUUAAAUUCAUGGAAAUAAAAGGAUGAGACAUUGCAGUAUGUACAUUGACUAUAAGGAGUGAGAUAUGUUACCACUGCACUGACCAAAAAAAUUCUUCAAUUUCGGUUCAUUUGAACCAAUGUACAGGAACUAGCAACUAAUUGACCAUAGUUUGACCAAACAUGCAAUAGUAUAAUGCUAACUGGACAAAUUAUAUAUAUCAAAUAAUUUAUGAAAUUCAAAUAUACCAAUAAUGGAUUCCAUGAAAUAUUUUGCACAAAGCCACAAACAAUCAUAUAUUUUAGUUUUUAUUAUCAUAACAUCGAACAUGUAUAACGCAUCAACUCUUGCACAAAUAGACAUAGUCAACUGGGGAUCUGCACAGGCUCAUAGAGGAACAACAAAGAGAGAGAAACAACAAAGAGCUGCACUGCUGACCUACUGCUGCAAACGUGUGCUCCGCAAAUCCCAGGAAACUUUGAACAAAAGAAUUUCCAUGUACAAGAACACUAUAGUACUAGACAUACAUGAGAAGCAGGAAGAAGAAGAUUACCCGAACGCCGCAUGUUUGACAUGGCCGUCGUCUCGUUGGUGCGGUCCCGCUCCUCGCC